Molecule: ribosomal RNA, 177 nt
Filed under: Otidea onotica
Lineage: Eukaryota; Fungi; Ascomycota; Pezizomycetes; Pezizales; Pyronemataceae
Description: 5.8S ribosomal RNA
Rfam family: 5.8S ribosomal RNA (bases 37-177)
About the family: 5.8S ribosomal RNA (5.8S rRNA) is a component of the large subunit of the eukaryotic ribosome. It is transcribed by RNA polymerase I as part of the 45S precursor that also contains 18S and 28S rRNA.
Source: RNAcentral
GCCUUCUGACUGAAUAAUGAUUAUAACAAUUGCUAAAACUUUCAACAACGGAUCUCUUGGUUCUCGCAUCGAUGAAGGACGCAGCGAAAUGCGAUAAGAAGUGUGAAUUGCAGAAUUCAGUGAAUCAUCGAAUCUUUGAACGCACAUUGCGCCUCCUGGUAUUCCGGGAAGCAUGCC